Molecule: ribosomal RNA, 86 nt
Filed under: uncultured bacterium
Lineage: Bacteria
Description: partial 16S ribosomal RNA
Rfam family: Bacterial small subunit ribosomal RNA
Source: RNAcentral
UAAUCGUAUAUCAGCAAUGAUACGGUGAAUACGUUCCCGGACCUUGCACACACCGCCCGUCAAGCCAUGGAAGCUGGGUGUACCUA